UCAGCUCGUGUCGUGAGAUGUUGGGUUAAGUCCCGCAACGAGCGCAACCCUUGUCUUUAAUUGCCAUCAUUCAGUUGGGCACUUUAAAGAGAACUGCCGGUGUUAAACCGGAGGAAGGUGGGGAUGGACGUUAAGUCCUCAUGGCCUUUAUGCCCAGGGCUACACACGUGCUACAAUGGGUGGUACAAAGAGAUGCAAUCUCGCAAGAGCAAGCAAACCUCAAAAAAGCCAAUCCUCAGUUCGGAUUGGAGUCUGCAACUCGACUCCAUGAAGUCGGAAUCGCUAGUAAUCGCGGAUCAGCACGCCCGCGGUCCGAAUACGUUCCGGCCUU
This 331-nucleotide ribosomal RNA is filed under the name uncultured Smithella sp. RNAcentral describes it as "bacterial SSU rRNA". It matches the Rfam family "Bacterial small subunit ribosomal RNA", at positions 1055 to 1374 of the family's 1533-position model. Lineage: Bacteria; Pseudomonadati; Thermodesulfobacteriota; Syntrophia; Syntrophales; Smithellaceae. The record is from RNAcentral.